GACGAACGCUGGCGGUGUGCUUAACACAUGCAAGUCGAACGGUAAGGCCCUUUCGGGGGUACACGAGUGGCGAACGGGUGAGUAACACGUGAGUAACCUGCCCUCAUCUCUGGGAUAACAGUCGGAAACGAUUGCUAAUACUGGAUAUGAGCUUGCAAGGCAUCUUGUGGGUUGGAAAGAUUUUUUUGGUUGGGGAUGGACUCGCGGCCUAUCAGCUUGUUGGUGAGGUAGUGGCUCACCAAGGCUUCGACGGGUAGCCGGCCUGAGAGGGCGACCGGCCACAUUGGGACUGAGAUACGGCCCAAACUCCUACGGGAGGCAGCAGUGGGGAAUAUUGCACAAUGGACGGAAGUCUGAUGCAGCAACGCCGCGUGCGGGAUGACGGCCUUCGGGUUGUAAACCGCUUUCAAUUGUGACGAAGCUUUUUGUGACGGUAGCAGUAGAAGAAGCACCGGCUAACUACGUG
Molecule: ribosomal RNA, 466 nt
Filed under: uncultured bacterium
Lineage: Bacteria
Description: partial 16S ribosomal RNA
Rfam family: Bacterial small subunit ribosomal RNA
Source: RNAcentral